AGGCGUCGGGGGGAGCGACCCUCCCGGUGCCGUCGCUAACGCAGUAAGUGUCCCGCCUGGGGAGUACGGCCGCAAGGCUGAAACUCAAAGGAAUUGACGGGGGCCCGCACAAGCGGUGGAGCAUGUGGUUUAAUUCGAAGCAACGCGAAGAACCUUACCUGGGCUUGACAUGCUGGUGAAAGCCGGUGGAAACAUCGGCCCCUCUUCGGAGCGCCAGCACAGGUGCUGCAUGGCUGUCGU
RNAcentral lists this ribosomal RNA (240 nucleotides) under uncultured bacterium. Its description in RNAcentral is "partial 16S ribosomal RNA". It matches the Rfam family "Bacterial small subunit ribosomal RNA", at positions 818 to 1055 of the family's 1533-position model. The record is from RNAcentral.